AUUGAACGCUGGCGGCAUGCCUUACACAUGCAAGUCGAACGGUAACAGGUCUUCGGAUGCUGACGAGUGGCGAACGGGUGCGUAAUACAUCGGAACGUGCCCGAUCGUGGGGGAUAACGAAGCGAAAGCUUUGCUAAUACCGCAUAAGAUCUACGGAUGAAAGCAGGGGACCGCAAGGCCUUGCGCGAACGGAGCGGCCGAUGGCAGAUUAGGUAGUUGGUGGGAUAAAAGCUUACCAAGCCGACGAUCUGUAGCUGGUCUGAGAGGACGACCAGCCACACUGGGACUGAGACACGGCCCAGACUCCUACGGGAGGCAGCAGUGGGGAAUUUUGGACAAUGGGCGAAAUCCUGAUCCAGCCAUGCCGCGUGCAGGAUGAAGGCCUUCGGGUUGUAAACUGCUUUUGUACGGAACGAAAAGACUCUGGUUAAUACCUGGGGUCCAUGACGGUACCGUAAGAAUAAGCACCGGCUAACUACGUG
This 482-nucleotide ribosomal RNA is filed under the name uncultured bacterium. Its description in RNAcentral is "partial 16S ribosomal RNA". It matches the Rfam family "Bacterial small subunit ribosomal RNA", at positions 30 to 507 of the family's 1533-position model. The record is from RNAcentral.